GAUCAAACUACAAAGGGCACAUGGCGGAUGACUUGGCGUCAAGAGGCGAUGAAAGACGUUGGAACCUGCGAAAAGCUUCAGGGAGCUGGUAACCAAGC
This 98-nucleotide ribosomal RNA is filed under the name Phycisphaerales bacterium. RNAcentral's name for it is "partial 23S ribosomal RNA". It matches the Rfam family "Bacterial large subunit ribosomal RNA", at positions 1 to 97 of the family's 2925-position model. The record is from RNAcentral. Lineage: Bacteria; Pseudomonadati; Planctomycetota; Phycisphaerae; Phycisphaerales.